AGAGAGAGAGGAAUUCGUGUUCUUGAACCGCUUAGCAGCAUGCAACUCGUGACCCCCAACCGAAGCCUGAAUGAGAAUAGUGUGUGCUUUUCUUAUGGGAAACUACCUGCCGUCCUCUUUAUACCCUCUAUUUUUCUUAUAAAAGGCUCUGUUUCCUCCAACAUCUUACCUGCCCCCUUUUCAAACUCAGAUAACGGCUGCAAACGUUCAAAUCGAAGGUAAUACCUUGACUCCCUUCCCUCUCUCGACAUCUGUACGUAUCCAAGUUGCAUCCAAGUAAACACAAGGCACCAAUUCUUAACGCGAA
Molecule: long non-coding RNA, 307 nt
Organism: Rhododendron vialii
Lineage: Eukaryota; Viridiplantae; Streptophyta; Magnoliopsida; Ericales; Ericaceae
Exons: 2
Source: RefSeq, a predicted model, not a curated record